Molecule: ribosomal RNA, 253 nt
Filed under: uncultured bacterium
Lineage: Bacteria
Description: partial 16S ribosomal RNA
Rfam family: Bacterial small subunit ribosomal RNA
Source: RNAcentral
UACGGGGGGGGUAAGCGUUGUUCGGAAUUACUGGGCGUAAAGGGCUCGUAGGCGGCCAACUAAGUCAUACGUGAAAUCCCUCAGCUUAACUGGGGAACUGCGUGUGAUACUGGAUGGCUUGAGUUUGGGAGAGGGAUGCGGAAUUCCAGGUGUAGCGGUGAAAUGCGCAGAUAUCAGGAGGAACACCGGUGGCGAAGGCGGGUCUCUGGGCCGUAACUGACGCUGAGGAGCGAAAGCGUGGGGAGCGAACAGG